AUUGAACGCUGGCGGCAUGCGUAACACAUGCAAGUCGAACGGUGUUUGGUGCUUGCACCAGACAUAGUGGCGGACGGGUGAGUAAUGCGUAGGAAUCUGUCUUAGAGAGGGGGACAACCCGAGGAAACUUGGGCUAAAACCGCAUAUUCUCGAGAGAGGAAAGCAGGGGACCGGAAACGGCCUUGUGCUCUAAGGUGAACCUACGUCGGAUUAGCUAGUUGGUAGGGUAAAAGCCUACCAAGGCGAUGAUCUGUAGCUGGUCUGAGAGGACGGACAGCCACACUGGGACUGAGACACGGCCCAGACUCCUACGGGAGGCAGCAGUGGGGAAUAUUGGACAAUGGGGGAACCCUGAUCCAGCGAUGCCGCGUGUGUGAAGAAGGCCUGCGGGGUUGUAAAAGCACUUUUCAGUGGGAAAGAGAAGCGUCUUGUGAAUAAUGGGACGUGGAGACGUUACUCACAGAAGAAGCACCGGCUAAACUCUGUGCCAGCAGCCGCGGUAAU
This 504-nucleotide ribosomal RNA is filed under the name uncultured bacterium. RNAcentral's name for it is "bacterial SSU rRNA". It matches the Rfam family "Bacterial small subunit ribosomal RNA", at positions 30 to 524 of the family's 1533-position model. The record is from RNAcentral.